AGGUCGGUAAGACAACGGCAGUCGCGCGGACUCCAAACCCGCGAACGCAGGUUCGAAUCCUGCCCGGCCUGCCA
This 74-nucleotide transfer RNA is filed under the name Planctomycetota bacterium. Its description in RNAcentral is "tRNA-Trp". It matches the Rfam family "tRNA". From Rfam's summary of the family: Transfer RNA (tRNA) molecules are approximately 80 nucleotides in length. The record is from RNAcentral. RNAcentral also lists the same sequence under 1 other name. Lineage: Bacteria; Pseudomonadati; Planctomycetota.